GACGAACGCUGGCGGCGUGCAUAACACAUGCAAGUCACGGGGGCCAGCAAUGGCAACCGGCGAACGGGUGCGUAACACGUAAGCGACCUACCUCGAUGUGGGGCAUAGCCGGCCUAACGGCCGGGUAAUUCCGCAUGUGAUCCUUGAGGGGCAUAUCUCGGGGAUGAAACCAGUAAUGGGCAUUGAGAGGGGCUUGCGGCCUAUCAGCUUGUUGGCGGGGUAACGGCUCACCAAGGCGACGACGGGUAGCUGGUCUGAGAGGAUGGCCAGCCACAUUGGGACUGAGAAACGGCCCAGACUCCUACGGGAGGCAGCAGUGGGGAAUCUUGCGCAAUGGCCUAACGGCUGACGCAGCGACGCCGCGUGAGGGAUGAAGCUCCUCGGAGUGUAAACCUCUGUUGCCCGGGACGAA
RNAcentral lists this ribosomal RNA (412 nucleotides) under uncultured bacterium. Its description in RNAcentral is "bacterial SSU rRNA". It matches the Rfam family "Bacterial small subunit ribosomal RNA", at positions 28 to 449 of the family's 1533-position model. The record is from RNAcentral.